Molecule: non-coding RNA, 222 nt
Organism: Pelobates cultripes (western spadefoot toad)
Lineage: Eukaryota; Metazoa; Chordata; Amphibia; Anura; Pelobatidae
Source: the annotation of a GenBank genome assembly
GGGCUAAGCGGGAGCGUCUGCAAGUGUUUUCAGCCUACUGCGCAGGGUGGGAUAGUGCAAUGGCAUUUGGGACCCCUCUGCCCCUUACUUGAUUGAGGAUCCACUGUGCUCUGUUAGAAUGUCCUUCCCUGUCAGAAGGACUUUUAGCCUACUCGUAGCUAUGCGCUGCCAACGGAUCAUGGACUUGCGACGUCUGUGUACCACGCGUCUUCAGCCUUAAAG